UCCUAACUAGGCCAUUACCCAGUUGGCUAAG
Molecule: non-coding RNA, 31 nt
Filed under: Mus musculus (house mouse)
Lineage: Eukaryota; Metazoa; Chordata; Mammalia; Rodentia; Muridae
Source: RNAcentral